UACGUAGGUGGCGAGCGUUGUCCGGAUUUACUGGGCGUAAAGGGCUUGUAGGCGGUCCGCUAAGUCUGGUGUGAAAUCUCCCGGCUCAACUGGGAGGGGUCAUCGGAUACUGGCGGACUUGAGGGGGGUAGAGGAAAGCAGAAUUCCUGGUGUAGCGGUGAAAUGCGCAGAUAUCAGGAGGAACACCGGUGGCGAAGGCGGGUCUCUGGGCCGAUACUGACGCUGAGGAGCGAAAGCGUGGGGAGCGAACAGG
Molecule: ribosomal RNA, 253 nt
Filed under: uncultured bacterium
Lineage: Bacteria
Description: partial 16S ribosomal RNA
Rfam family: Bacterial small subunit ribosomal RNA
Source: RNAcentral